This 253-nucleotide ribosomal RNA is filed under the name uncultured bacterium. RNAcentral's name for it is "partial 16S ribosomal RNA". It matches the Rfam family "Bacterial small subunit ribosomal RNA", at positions 524 to 776 of the family's 1533-position model. The record is from RNAcentral.
UACGUAGGGUGCAAGCGUUAAUCGGAAUUACUGGGCGUAAAGCGUGCGCAGGCGGUUUUGUAAGUCUGUCGUGAAAGCCCCGGGCUCAACCUGGGAAUUGCGAUGGAGACUGCAAGGCUUGAAUCUGGCAGAGGGGGGUAGAAUUCCACGUGUAGCAGUGAAAUGCGUAGAGAUGUGGAGGAACACCGAUGGCGAAGGCAGCCCCCUGGGCUAACACUGACGCUCAUGCACGAAAGCGUGGGGAGCAAACGGG